Molecule: ribosomal RNA, 537 nt
Filed under: uncultured bacterium
Lineage: Bacteria
Description: bacterial SSU rRNA
Rfam family: Bacterial small subunit ribosomal RNA
Source: RNAcentral
ACGGGUGAGUAACGCGUGGGAAUCUACCCUGAACUGCGGAAUAGCUCCGGGAAACUGGAAUUAAUACCGCAUGUGCCCUGAGGGGCAAAGAUUUAUCGGUUCAGGAUGAGCCCGCGUCCGAUUAGCUAGUUGGUGGGGUAAAGGCCUACCAAGGCGACGAUCGGUAGCUGGUCUAAGAGGAUGAUCAGCCACAUUGGGACUGAGACACGGCCCAAACUCCUACGGGAGGCAGCAGUGGGGAAUAUUGGACAAUGGGCGCAAGCCUGAUCCAGCCAUGCCGCGUGAGUGAUGAAGGCCCUAGGGUUGUAAAGCUCUUUCAGUGGGGACGAUAAUGACGGUACCCACAGAAGAAGCCCCGGCUAACUUCGUGCCAGCAGCCGCGGUAAUACGAAGGGGGCUAGCGUUGUUCGGAAUUACUGGGCGUAAAGCGCACGUAGGCGGACAUUUAAGUCAGGGGUGAAAUCCCGGGGCUCAACCCCGGAACUGCCUUUGAUACUGGGUGUCUUGAGUUCGGAAGAGGUGAGUGGAAUUGCGAGU